UUUCCGUAGGUGAACCUGCGGAAGGAUCAUUAAAAAAUGUGGUACCAAUUAUUGGUACUAAUUAAUCAUCCUACCCUUUGUGAAUUUGUUUGUAUGAAUUUUUUUUAAAUGGGUCUUUCCCUAAGUUGGAUUGUUAGUAAAAUACAAAAAGACUUAGGGGAAUGACUUUUUUAAAAGACUUUUUUUUUAAAUUAAAACUUUUUGUAUUCAUUUGUCUAAAAUUUAUUUUUAUAAUAUAAAAACAACUUUUGACAAUGGAUCUCUUGGUUCUCGCAAACGAUGAAGAACGCAGCAAAAUGCGAUAAGUAGUGUGAAUUGCAGAAUACGUGAAUCAUCGAAUCUUCGAACGCAUAUUGCACUUUUUUAGUUUACUAAAAAAGUAUGUCUGUUUGAGUAUCAGUAAAAUAUUCUCACAAACAUAUAUUGUUUGUGGUAAUGAGUGUUUUACAACGAUAAACAAGUUGUUUCACUUUAAAUUCUUUUUAAUUGAAUUUUUACCAAUUCAUAAAUUAAAAUUGGAUAAAAUUUUCCUUUAACGAGGAAUAACCUAAACAAUUUUAAAUUUUUUGGAUUAUAAAAUUCAUCAAAGGAAUCUAUUAUACAUAAAUAACUUGAUCUCAAAUCAGAUAAGAGUACCCGCUGAACUUAAGCAUAUCAAUAAGCGGAGGAAAAGAAACUAACAAGGAUUCCCUUAGUAACGGCGAGUGAAGCGGGAAGAGCUCAAAUUUGAAAUCUUCAAGGUUUGACCUUGACGAAUUGUAGUUCAUAGAAGUGUUUUCUGUUGGAGUUUUGGUAAAAGUUCUUUGGAAUAGGACAUCAUAGAGGGUGAGAAUCCCGUAUUUGACCAUGACUUUCCAGCUGUGUGAUACACUUUCAAAGAGUCGGAUUGUUUGGGAAUGCAGUCCAAAAUGGGUGGUAAAUUUCAUCUAAAGCUAAAUAUUGGCGAGAGACCGAUAGCGAACAAGUACCGUGAGGGAAAGAUGAAAAGAACUUUGAAAAGAGAGUUAAACAGUACGUGAAAUUGUCAAAAGGGAAGCGUUUGACACCAGUGUUGUUUUCUCGAAAAUCAAUUUAAUGAGUUCUUGUUUUUAAGUUAUUGUGACUUUAUCAGCGCAUUUCUUAUUUUACUUGACUCAUUGAAUGCACUUUUCGUUUAAACAAGUCAACAUCAAUUUCUUUGGUGGUAAAAAGUUUAAAGGAAGGUGGCUUGGACUUCGGUUCAAGUGUUUAUAGCCUUUUUUCUAUGCCAUCGGAGAGAUUGAGGUCUGCAGCGUAGAUCCUUCGGGGUUAGAUACCUUUGUGCUAAGUUAUAGUUUUUUAUAGACAACUUGUUGACUAUAAUUAACCCUGUAAUUUACUCGCUUAGGCUAUUU
This 1373-nucleotide unclassified non-coding RNA is filed under the name uncultured Neocallimastigales. Its description in RNAcentral is "partial contains small subunit ribosomal RNA, internal transcribed spacer 1, 5.8S ribosomal RNA, internal transcribed spacer 2, and large subunit ribosomal RNA". The stretch from base 613 to 1373 matches the Rfam family "Eukaryotic large subunit ribosomal RNA", at positions 1 to 611 of the family's 3401-position model. Lineage: Eukaryota; Fungi; Neocallimastigomycota; Neocallimastigomycetes; Neocallimastigales. The record is from RNAcentral.